UGAGCUGGUGAAUCAGGGCAAGGACGGG
This 28-nucleotide non-coding RNA is filed under the name Rattus norvegicus (Norway rat). The record is from RNAcentral. Lineage: Eukaryota; Metazoa; Chordata; Mammalia; Rodentia; Muridae.